CAGAAAAGGGUGUGUGGAAUCGAUUUAAGUUUAACCUGACAGUACAUGUCUUGAAGGUCUUUUAUGAACUUGAAACACAUCGGCUAGGUCUUCAUCCUCACCUGCACUGGAAUUACCUACUUAAGAAAAACAAACUAAUGAUACACAAAGAAGCACUUAUAAAUUACAUAUCUUCAUGCCGGAAACACUAUUUGGAUGCGUGUGGAUGAUUCUGAAAAUUGAUAUAGUCUGAAGGAUGUAUAUGUACAUUUAUAUAUAGACACAAUAUAACCCAAUUGAUAUUC
This 284-nucleotide long non-coding RNA is filed under the name Homo sapiens (human). RNAcentral describes it as "HSALNT0399956". Lineage: Eukaryota; Metazoa; Chordata; Mammalia; Primates; Hominidae. The record is from RNAcentral.